Molecule: transfer RNA, 62 nt
Filed under: Peruphasma schultei
Lineage: Eukaryota; Metazoa; Arthropoda; Insecta; Phasmatodea; Pseudophasmatidae
Description: tRNA-Pro
Source: RNAcentral
CAAAGGGUAGUUUAUUUAAAAUAAUAGUUUUGGGGAUUAUUGAUAGAUUUUUCUUCCUUUGA